RNAcentral lists this ribosomal RNA (460 nucleotides) under uncultured bacterium. Its description in RNAcentral is "partial 16S ribosomal RNA". It matches the Rfam family "Bacterial small subunit ribosomal RNA", at positions 338 to 795 of the family's 1533-position model. The record is from RNAcentral.
CCUACGGGUGACAGCAGUGAGGAAUAUUGGUCAAUGGCCGUAAGGCUGAACCAGCCAAGUCGCGUGAAGGAAGACGGACCUAUGGGUUGUAAACUUCUUUUAUAGGGGAAUAAAGGUAUCCACGUGUGGCUAUUUGCAUGUACCCUAUGAAUAAGCAUCGGCUAACUCCGUGCCAGCAGCCGCGGUAAUACGGAGGAUGCGAGCGUUAUCCGGAUUUAUUGGGUUUAAAGGGAGCGUAGGUUGUUUUUUAAGUCAGUUGUGAAAGUUUGUGGCUCAACCGUAAAAUUGCCGUUGAAACUGGAAGACUUGAGUGUGUUUGAGGUAGGCGGAAUGCGUGGUGUAGCGGUGAAAUGCAUAGAUAUCACGAAGAACUCCGAUUGCGAAGGCAGCUUACUAAGCCGUAACUGACACUGAAGCACGAAAGCGUGGGGAUCAAACAGGAUUAGAUACCCGAGUAGUC